This 119-nucleotide ribosomal RNA is filed under the name Anolis carolinensis (green anole). Lineage: Eukaryota; Metazoa; Chordata; Lepidosauria; Squamata; Anolidae. The record is from RNAcentral.
GCACAAGGUCUAAAUCCUCUGAAGGCACCAGAUCCUAUCUGAUCUUGGAAACUAAGCAAGGUCAGGCUUGGUUAAUACUUGGAAUGGAGACUGCCAGCGAAUACCAAGUAUUGUAUAUA